AACACUGUUAACCUGCGGUACCUGCGGAGGGAUCAUUACCGAGUUUACAACUCCCAAACCCCUGUGAACAUACCAAUUGUUGCCUCGGCGGAUCAGCCCGCUCCCGGUAAAACGGGACGGCCCGCCAGAGGACCCCUAAACUCUGUUUCUAUAUGUAACUUCUGAGUAAAACCAUAAAUAAAUCAAAACUUUUAGCAAUGGAUCU
This 205-nucleotide unclassified non-coding RNA is filed under the name soil metagenome. RNAcentral's name for it is "partial contains 5.8S ribosomal RNA, internal transcribed spacer 2, and large subunit ribosomal RNA". The record is from RNAcentral.